AGGCAUGAGCCACUGCACCCAGCCAGUUUUUCUAAUUUAUACAUAUAAAUUACUGCAAAAUAUUUCAAAUGAACUAGAAGAAGAUAGAAGAAAGACCAUAGAAAGGAUCAUUGAACUGACUGAUACUGAGGAAUGACAAAUAAAUAAAAUAUAAGGAAUAAAUAUGAGAACUCAAAUAUUGGGGUCAUUUGGUGAUGGUGGCAAUAACCGUACGUUUUCCAAAAUGCCUGAAGGUCACCACAAUAUCCACUAUAUACCCUUAGUAAUGUCAGAAAAGUCAGUGGUAAAUUUGAGAAAGAUUUUUGUAAAAAUAUAAUUGUAUUAGUUUGCUCUCACACUGCUAUAAAGAACUACAUGAGACUGGGUAAUGUAUGAAGAAAAGAGGUUUUGUUGAUUCACAGUUCUGCAGGCUUAAUAGGGAGCAUGACUGGGAGGCCUCAGGGAACUUACGAUCAUGGCAGAAGGUGAAGAGGAAGCAAGCACCUUCUUCCCAAGGCGACAGGAGACAAAGAGAACAAAGAGGGAUGUCCACACACUUUUAAACCAUCAGAUCUUGUAAGAACUCACUCACUAUCGUGAGAACAGCAAGGGGAAACCACCCCCAUGAUCCAAUGGCCUCCUACCAGGUCCCUCCCCAAACACUGGAGAUUACAAUUCAACAUGAUAUUUGAGUGGAGACACAGAGCCAAACCAUACCAAUAAUUUUAAAAAGAACUUUUAUAUUUUAUUUAAAAGAUAAACUACUCAGAAAAUUUGCCAAUUUAGAAAAUGCUUAUUUUCAGAGAAUUGUGGGUGGUCAAAGUCUUACACUCUUUGGAAUAAUUUAAGAAAGAGAUAAUAUAACACAGGUUUAUAGAACUGAAGAUUGGUUCUUGAUUAAGAAAGCACACUCUGGGCAAUAAUAUGCUUUAAAAAAUGUCCUUUGGAAUUUAGCAAAUAAUGAUUCGUUAGUUCAGUUGCUUAAAGCAUGAUAUAAAUGAAGCCAUGCAUUGUCUCAGGAUUAAGUUGCAUGAAAAAGGUGUGCUCGAUAACAAUCUAUACCUCUGUGUAGGCUAGCCACUCACAAAUGAGUACUAGGCCAAGCUUCAUUUUUCUUGUAGAACUCUUUGUAGUGGGUCAGGGCCAUCGUCCUUGUAUACUAAUGUAUUUGCUAUUAUUUUUUCUAUUACUUCUAUAUAAUUCAAAUUUUUACUUUAACCAAUCAUGGUUUUGAGUAAGUAUGUUUUUAAAAAUGUUUUUCAUACCUAUUCCAUUCAUGAGAUGGAGUUUGCCAGGAUAGACAAGACAUUUUAUUUGGAAAAUGAUGACUAUAUUUUAAAAUAAAUGGUAGUCAUACCCUUAAGUAUGCCUACCAAAGUUCUGAGUAGUCAACUUUAUGAGGCAUUUCAUUAAAAACCCUCACUUUAACGUAUAAGGCAUUUCUUUGCUUUUUCAAAGACUGAUUUGAAUUUUUCCUUCCAGAGCUUUCAGGAGAGAUCUACUAUGUGGUCAUUUUUGCAGUUUUAUAGUUGGUUCAGCUAAUCUAGUGUUGUGCUCUUUCCUUUAGCUCUUGGGUUGAUAGCUUAUGGCAGUGAUAGUCAAGUGUAUCACGCCGUGAAGUCAACUGUUUGAAAAAACACUGUGAAGUGGUUCGAUAUGGAUAUGAUGUCAUAAUCUUCUUUUUGAAGAUAAAGAAACUAAGACUAUAUCAUAAUGUUCUUCUUGAAGAUGAAGAAAUGAAGACUCUGUGAGAUAUAGCGAUUUGUUUUUGGUGGGGGCUUGGAGGAGGAGAGGCAGAGUUGUCUCUACUGUACUAGUGCUUUGGGAGGUCAUUCUUGCUUAGGAAUGUCUCCACUUCCUUUCCCCUCACCCCUAGCACAGCCUGAGUUUGGAGGGAGGGUAGAAGCAGGACUAUAAGUAAAAAUAAUAACUUAUUUACUUAUCAAUCAUCUAUCUGUGUGUGUAUGUGUAUAUGUAUAUAUGUGUGUGUAUGUGUGUGCGUGUGUAAAUAGCAGGCAUACCUAACUUUUCAGUAAAAUUCUGUUGAGAAGAGGAAUAGGUAAAUGAUGCUAAGGGUAAACACAGAGUCAAGAGAGAAGGUUUAGGAAAAUGAUAGUGUGUGAGCUAGUUAUUGAUAUCUCUGAAGAAAAGACCAUGAAUACUGUAGUGCAUUCUAGGAGAGCAAUAGUAUUAUGUUAUCUUAUAUCCUGUAAGAAAGAGCAUCCUAUGGAAAAGAUAGAAUAAUGUAGUUACUUUUAUGCUCAGAAUAAUUCACAUGUUCUUAGGUGAAUUCUAGGUCCCAGAGAUAUUUCUGCUGAUUCUGUAAACCUACCGUUUUCUCUUUAAGCGGUUAAAAAAAUUUCUCCCUCUUAAUCCCCCACUUCUCAUUUAUGUCUUCUUUUUAUUUGUGCAAAUAUUAUUUGAAUCAUUAUUUCUACCCUUUUUCUUGUUUUAGGUUUGUUUUGCCCUUCUUUUACUAGGUUCUUGCAGCAGGAGCUUAAAUUACUGAUUUAAGAUUUUUUUCUCUGUUCUAAUGCAUGCUUUUGGUGUAUAAAAUUCCAUUUUCAGCACUAUUUUGACUCUGCCUUGCAAAUUUGAUAUGUUUUAUUUUCUGUUUUUAUUCAGUUCAAUGUAUUUUCAAGAUUUUCCUUAAGAAUGACUCCUUGAGCCAUGGAUUAUUUAUAAAUAUGUUGUUUCAUUUCUAAGUGUUUUGAGAUAUGCUAACAAGGAUAUUGGUCUUUUUAAAAUUGAUCUCUUGCAUGAUUUCAUUGUGGUUGGAAAAUGUACUAUGUAUGGUUUCAAUUCUAAAUUUUUUGAGGUUUGUUUUAUGGCUCUGGAUAUAAUCUAUCUUGGUAUAUGUUCUGUGAGCACUUAAAUAGAAUGUGUUUGCUGUUGUUGGGUGGGGUUUUCUGUAAAUGUUGAUUAGAUCCUUUUGGUUAAUGGUGUUGUUGAAUUCUUUCACAUUCUUGUUGUUUUUCUGUGUAGUUCCAACAAUUAUUGAGAAAAGAAUGUUGAAAUCUACAAUUAUAAUUCUAAAUUUUUCUAUUUGUCCUUUCAGUUCUAUCAAAUUUUAUUUUACAUAUUUUGCUGCUCUGUUUUUUGGUUCAUACAUUUUUAUGAUUGGUGUGUCUUCACAUGGAUUGAUCCUUUUAUCGUUGUACAAUGUGCCUCUCUGUCUCUGGUGAUUUUCUUUGCUCUAAAGUCUAUUUGAUAUUAAUAUAGCUAUUCCUGUUUUCUUUUGAUUAAUGUUAUAUGAUAGGUCUUUUUCUGUUCUUUCACUUUUAACUAACUUAUAUUAUUGUAUUUCAAGUGAGUUUUUAUAGACAACAUAUGAUUGGUGGUAUUUUUUAAUCUACUCUGUCAAUAUCUUUCAAUUAGGUAUUUAGAUUAUUUACAUUUAGAGUAAUUAUUGAUAUUAGGAUUCAAGUCUGCUAUUUUAAUGCCUUAAUUAAAGCAGCCUUCAGGUGCUCCAGGGGUCUAUUCAUCACUACUUACAGAUUUAUAGGACUGUUAUCUGUAUUAAGUUCUAUGUACAACUUGGAAAUAGUAAUUGGACAGAGGAAGAGGAUAAUAAUGUUAAACACUUUUAGAAUAAAUUGUCUGCCAUAUUAUUUAUGAAUUGGGUGACAACUUUGUCCCAAUAUAUUUAUGUUUUAAUAUUGUUAAAUAAUGUUUUACUUUGGCCUACACAGAUUUGGAAGAAAUGUCUCUUAAGAAGCUAAUUAAAUAAUUUAUUGUACUCACGUUUGUUGAACAUUUUCUAUGUGCAAACUAUUAUUCCAGUGAAGGGGAGUACAAUGAUGAACAAGAUUACUAAUAAAUGUAAAAAUGCAAAAACUAUAAAAAA
This is a long non-coding RNA of Homo sapiens (human), 3826 nucleotides long. RefSeq lists it as uncharacterized. The transcript is spliced from 2 exons. NCBI's taxonomy places the organism in Eukaryota, Metazoa, Chordata, Mammalia, Primates, Hominidae. The record is from RefSeq and is a predicted model, not a curated record.